GACGAACGCUGGCGGCGUGCUUAACACAUGCAAGUCGAACGGAAAGGCCCUGCUUUUGUGGGGUGCUCGAGUGGCGAACGGGUGAGUAACACGUGAGUAACCUGCCCUUGACUUUGGGAUAACUUCAGGAAACUGGGGCUAAUACCGGAUAGGAGCUCCUGCUGCAUGGUGGGGGUUGGAAAGUUUCGGCGGUUGGGGAUGGACUCGCGGCUUAUCAGCUUGUUGGUGGGGUAGUGGCUUACCAAGGCUUUGACGGGUAGCCGGCCUGAGAGGGUGACCGGCCACAUUGGGACUGAGAUGCGGCCCAGACUCCUACGGGAGGCAGGAGUGGGGAAUAUUGCACAAUGGGCGGAAGCCGGAUGGAGCAACGCCGCGUGCGGGAUGACGGCCUUCGGGUUGUAAACCGCUUUCGCCUGUGACGAAGCGUGAGUGACGGUAAUGGGGAAAGAAGCACCGGCUAACUACGU
This 467-nucleotide ribosomal RNA is filed under the name uncultured bacterium. RNAcentral describes it as "partial 16S ribosomal RNA". It matches the Rfam family "Bacterial small subunit ribosomal RNA", at positions 28 to 506 of the family's 1533-position model. The record is from RNAcentral.